Molecule: ribosomal RNA, 496 nt
Filed under: uncultured bacterium
Lineage: Bacteria
Description: partial 16S ribosomal RNA
Rfam family: Bacterial small subunit ribosomal RNA
Source: RNAcentral
GAUGAACGCUGGCGGCGUGCCUAAUACAUGCCAGUCGAGCGAACGGACGAGAAGCUUGCUUCUCUGAUGUUAUCGGCGGACGGGUGAGUAACACGUGGAUAACCUACCUAUAAGACUGGGAUAACUUCGGGAAACCGGAGCUAAUACCGGAUAAUAUUUUGAACCGCAUGGUUCAAAAGUGAAAGACGGUCUUGCUGUCACUUAUAGAUGGAUCCGCGCUGCAUUAGCUAGUUGGUAAGGUAACGGCUUACCAAGGCAACGAUGCAUAGCCGACCUGAGAGGGUGAUCGGCCACACUGGAACUGAGACACGGUCCAGACUCCUACGGGAGGCAGCAGUAGGGAAUCUUCCGCAAUGGGCGAAAGCCUGACGGAGCAACGCCGCGUGAGUGGUGAAGGUCUUCGGAUCGUAAAACUCUGUUAUUAGGGAAGAACAUAUGUGUAAGUAACUGUGCACAUCUUGACGGUACCUAAGCAGAAAGCCACGGCUAACUACGU